Molecule: long non-coding RNA, 1341 nt
Filed under: Anas platyrhynchos platyrhynchos (common mallard)
Lineage: Eukaryota; Metazoa; Chordata; Aves; Anseriformes; Anatidae
Description: lncRNA (ENSAPLG00000023667.1)
Source: RNAcentral
CCCCAUCAUGUCUGUCCCCAAGACAUAUCCAGGUGGGAGCCCACCUGGUCAGCAGCAAUCACCUGCAUGGGAAUAGCUCCCAGCUGUGUCUGGGCCACAACCAGGGUGGUUCAGGCACAUCACCUGCUUCAAAAUGCAGAGGAAGGACCCUGCCUGUGGCCAGGGACAACUGGGACAGACCAACAGCACGGACAGACCACACCAGGCAUGCACCAUGAGAGCAGUCCUCACCUUUAUACCAAAUCCAUGAUUUUGAAUCUUUGAAACAAGCAGCAGCCCUUACAUCCACAUUUGUUCAAGGCAUUGACACCACUGAGAGACUGAAGCUGAAGGGAAGAAAAACAGAUUUUUCUGAAUUAUCCUGUCAUUCUUAGUGACAUACACAUAUAUAUUUUUUUUUCACGGAGAGCCAUUUUUUUUCUCCUUUACUGACAAUCUGUACAUUUCCCGAUGGCUGCUACUACCUGUGUGGGACUGGGGCAUUAAAAGUACCAUCUCUGGCACAGCCCAGCAUCCCAGCUCCUCUCCCCGGAGCCUCUCAUGGAGCAGCAGCACCUGGUCCAAGGCCACGCAAGUUUUCAGAGAUGCCACUGGGGCGUGGGGUUUGUGUGCCCCGCUGAGGCUGUGAGAGGUGAAUGGGACUGGCUGUGCACAUGCCUGAGAGCUGCGCUACCUGUGUGCCUAACAAGGAAUUUGGGCAGUGCCCCUGACAGAUUUGCAGCAUCUCGGCACUUCCCCAGCUGCUGGUACUGCCAGUGAGUUCUGGCACUACCCUGCAGAGCAUGAGAAAGAAAUGUAUGGAUCUCAAGCCAAGGUCCAUGGAGGAUCCCAGUGCUCCCAGCAGAGGAGUUGUCCCUCAGCGCUGCCCUGAUCUGUGCCAGUGGGAGCCUGGCGAGGAACCAUCAGCAUUAGCUCCAUCCCUGUGUGCCUGCAACCUUUGCAAAGAGUGUCAGCAUCACAGGAGAGUAGGGAGACCCACUUCUGGCCCCGCUGCAGCAGUCGGGGCCAUGGUGAUUGCAGUCACCAGGCUCCGUGACUGCAGCACGGGCGCUGCAGCCCACAGGGAGCCUGGCACUCGCUGCCACUCGGCACAGGCAGGCGGUGCUUGGCCUGCACCAUCCAUGGGCAGGCAAGAGAUAUCCAAAGGAGGGACAAUGAGCUGCUGUUACCACUCACUGAAACCUGGAAACUGCUUUUAAUAUGAAAUUGGCACAUUUGAGGACCUGCUUUAAUUUCAUCUCAGGAGAAAACUGUCCUAUAAAAUAAGCAAUUCUGGAACAAAUAUAGUUUGGAAGACAAAAGAACAAAUUGUGUUUCAAAAUAAAAUGUUCAUUUCAUACA